This is an RNA transcript of Piliocolobus tephrosceles (Ugandan red Colobus), 906 nucleotides long. It is a transcript of the gene named ralA-binding protein 1 pseudogene, with no coding region annotated. Lineage: Eukaryota; Metazoa; Chordata; Mammalia; Primates; Cercopithecidae. The record is from RefSeq and is a predicted model, not a curated record. The transcript has a single exon.
AACAGGCGGAGGCUGGGCGGGGUGGGAAUGGGGCGCCCGAGGCCGGCCUGGGGCGCAGCGCAGGAGGCGGCUCCGGUGGCUGCGGCUGCAGAGUGAGCGCGAGGAGGCGGAGGCUGCGGCGGGGCGUGCGGUCGCGCGGCGGCAGGCACAGGUGUAAUGGAUAGGUAACAGAGAAGACCUCGUCCCUUCCUAGUCAGGGCAGCAGCAUGACUGAGUGCUUCCUGCCCCCCACAAGCAGCCCCAGUGAACACCGCAGGGUGGAGCAUGGCAGCGGGCUUACCCGGACCCCCAGCUCUGAAGAGAUCAGCCCUACUAAGUUUCCUGGAUUGUACCGCACUGGCGAGCCUUCACCUCCCCAUGACAUCCUCCAUGAGCCUCCUGAUAUAGUGUCUGAUGAUGAGAAAGAUCAUGGGAAGAAAAAAGGGAAAUUUAAGAAAAAGGAAAAGAGGACUGAAGGCUAUGCAGCCUUUCAGGAAGAUAGCUCUGGAGAUGAGGCAGAAAGUCCUUCUAAAAUGAAGAGGUCCAAGGGUAUCCAUGUUUUCAAGAAGCCCAGCUUUUCUAAAAAGAAGGAAAAGGAUUUUAAAAUAAAAGAGAAACCCAAAGAAGAAAAGCAUAAAGAAGAAAAGCACAAAGAAGAAAAACAUAAAGAGAAGAAGUCGAAAGACUUGACAGCAGCUGAUGUUGUUAAACAGUGGAAGGAAAAGAAGAAAAAGAAAAAGCCAAUUCAGGAGCCAGAGGUGCCUCAGAUUGAUGUUCCAAAUCUCAAACCCAUUUUUGGAAUUCCUUUGGCUGAUGCAGUAGAGAGGACCAUGAUGUAUGAUGGCGUUCGGCUGCCAGCCGUUUUCCGUGAAUGUAUAGAUUACGUAGAGAAGUAUGGCAUGAAGUGUGAAGGCAUCUACAGAGUAU